RNAcentral lists this ribosomal RNA (1343 nucleotides) under uncultured bacterium. Its description in RNAcentral is "16S ribosomal RNA". It matches the Rfam family "Bacterial small subunit ribosomal RNA", at positions 28 to 1378 of the family's 1533-position model. The record is from RNAcentral.
GACGAACGCUUGCGGCGUGCUUAACACAUGCAAGUCGAACGGAAAGGCCCUGCUUUUGUGGGGUGCUCGAGUGGCGAACGGGUGAGUAACACGUGAGUAACCUGCCCUUGACUUUGGGAUAACUUCAGGAAACUGGGGCUAAUACCGGAUAGGAGCUCCUGCUGCAUGGUGGGGGUUGGAAAGUUUCGGCGGUUGGGGAUGGACUCGCGGCUUAUCAGCUUGUUGGUGGGGUAGUGGCUUACCAAGGCUUUGACGGGUAGCCGGCCUGAGAGGGUGACCGGCCGCAUUGGGACUGAGAUACGGCCCAGACUCCUACGGGAGGCAGCAGUGGGGAAUAUUGCACGAUGGGCGGAAGCCUGAUGCAGCAACGCCGCGUGCGGGAUGACGGCCUUCGGGUUGUAAACCGCUUUCGCCUGUGACGAAGCGUGAGUGACGGUAAUGGGUAAAGAAGCACCGGCUAACUACGUGCCAGCAGCCGCGGUGAUACGUAGGGUGCGAGCGUUGUCCGGAUUUAUUGGGCGUAAAGGGCUCGUAGGUGGUUGAUCGCGUCGGAAGUGUAAUCUUGGGGCUUAACCCUGAGCGUGCUUUCGAUACGGGUUGACUUGAGGAAGGUAGGGGAGAAUGGAAUUCCUGGUGGAGCGGUGGAAUGCGCAGAUAUCAGGAGGAACACCAGUGGCGAAGGCGGUUCUCUGGGCCUUUCCUGACGCUGAGGAGCGAAAGCGUGGGGAGCGAACAGGCCUAGAUACCCUGGUAGUCCACGCUGUAAACGGUGGGUACUAGGUGUGGGGUCCAUUCCACGGGUUCCGUGCCGUAGCUAACGCUUUAAGUACCCCGCCUGGGGAGUACGGCCGCAAGGCUAAAACUCAAAGGAAUUGACGGGGCCCCGCACAAGCGGCGGAGCAUGCGGAUUAAUUCGAUGCAACGCGUAGAACCUUACCUGGGUUUGACAUGGAUCGGGAGUGCUCAGAGAUGGGUGUGCCUCUUUUGGGGUCGGUUCACAGGUGGUGCAUGGCUAUCGUCAGCUCGUGUCGUGAGAUGUUGGGUUAAGUCCCGCAACGAGCGCAACCCUUGUUCACUGUUGCCAGCACGUUAUGGUGGGGACUCAGUGGAGACCGCCGGGGUCAACUCGGAGGAAGGUGGGGAUGACGUCAAGUCGUCAUGCCCCUUAUGUCCAGGGCUUCACGCAUGCUACAAUGGCUGGUACAGAGAGUGGCGAGCCUGUGAGGGUGAGCGAAUCUCGGAAAGCCGGUCUCAGUUCGGAUUGGGGUCUGCAACUCGACCUCAUGAAGUCGGAGUCGCUAGUAAUCGCAGAUCAGCAACGCUGCGGUGAAUACGUUCCCGGG